GUAACAAGGUUUCCGUAGGUGAACCUGCGGAAGGAUCAUUAAUGAAUUCUAAUGCUGGGGUUGUAGCUGGCCUUUCAAUCGAGAGGUAUUGUGCACGCCUUGGUUAUUCCAAUUCUUACACCUCUGUGCACUUUACAUAGAAAGAUUUAUUAGUUGAGUGAAAGGGUCGACUCUUCGGGGUUGAACCAAGUAAUUCGACUGGUAAGCUCUCUGUGGUUCAAUACAUUUAUACCAGUCAGUUCAGAAUGUAACCCUGCGUACWACGCAAACUAUUAUAUACAACUUUCAGCAACGGAUCUCUUGGCUCUCGCAUCGAUGAAGAACGCAGCGAAAUGCGAUAAGUAAUGUGAAUUGCAGAAUUCAGUGAAUCAUCGAAUCUUUGAACGCACCUUGCACUCCUUGGUAUUCCGAGGAGUAUGCCUGUUUGAGUGUCAUGAUAUCCUCAAUUCUAAUGACUUUGUUAUACGAAGUCUUUCGGAAUUGGACUUGGAGGUUUUUUUGCCGGAGCUUCGGCUUUUUCUGGCUCCUCUCAAAUGCAUUAGUGUGAACCAGGUUACACAUUAAUCAGUGUGAUAAUUAUCUACGCUGCUUCAAUGUUGACUAUAUAAGUGUUCAUGCUUAUAACCCGUCUGUUGACUCAGACACUAUACUUUGAAAUCUGACCUCAAAUCAGGUAGGACUACCCGCUGAACUUAAGCAUA
Molecule: ribosomal RNA, 701 nt
Filed under: Podoscypha sp.
Lineage: Eukaryota; Fungi; Basidiomycota; Agaricomycetes; Polyporales; Podoscyphaceae
Also listed under: 1 other name
Description: eukaryotic LSU rRNA
Source: RNAcentral